GUGUAGCGUCAAAGUUUGCGAUGUCCUGUUUCGUGUAUGGCAUCGCAGCAAAUGCAUAGGCGAUUGAGGUGUGGACGCAUUGCUGCAGCAUGCGUAGGCGUUGUGCCGGCGUGGCCAGUGACGUGGCUAUGGCCGUGCCCUUUUCUUUCACAGUUUCAGUGACGUGGGAGACUUGCGCCUUCCAGUCUAGUGAGAAGGUGAGUUGCACCCCCAGGUAUUUGUAGGGUUUUGUGGGCGGGUAGUACGGUACAGUGGUGUUACCAAUUCGUAGCUUGUUAGUCAGUUCACGGUGCAUCGCGUUCAGCGUGGCUUGGCCGGUGGGUCCGUCAAGGGUCGGGGUGGACCGGGACUUGUUGUGCCAGAUGGCGGUAGUUGCGCACUUGGUGUGAUUGACUCGCAGGCUUGCCCAGUCUGCAUAGUCCGAGAUUUUGUCACAUUGGAUCUGCAGGUCUUCCAGCGUUGUGGUCAGGGCCGCCAAGUCGUCAGCGUACGCGGCGGCGCUGCAGUGGUACCGUGCAUUGUCUUCCGGGCUGAGGCAUCCGUAGCGGUAGCCCCGCCCACCUGCGUGGAGCCACCGCACAAGCGGUUCCAUGAACAAGAUGAACAGUACAGGUGACAGGGUGUCACCUUGCACCGUGCCACGUUCUAUUGGGAUGGCGGAUGUGCAUCCAUGUUCAGUACGAAUGCGGGUGGUGGCGUGCGCGUAUAGGUUGCGGACUGCGCGUAUCAGGUCGUCAGGCAGGCCCAGAUCGAACAUAAUCUGGAGUAGCCUGUCCUGAUCGAUUGUGUUAAACGCAGAGCUGUAGUCAACAUACACUGCGUAUACGUCUUUCCCAUACAGGGCAGCGUCCUCCAGUACAUGCACAAGGUUCAGUAUCUGCCGUUCCGUGUUGCAGUAGGCCUGGAAGCCCUCCUGUGAUUCGCUGAACAGCUGGAGUGGGCCUGCCAGUUCGCCGAUGCCCAGGGUGAGCAUAGAAGUGUACAGUUUAUAGCAAGUGUUGGCUAGAGCGAUGGGCCUCUUGUUCUUGAUGUCAAGAGCGUCCCCAGGUUUUGGGAGCAGGACCGUGUCCGAAGUGGCCCAGGACUCCGGGAUUGUGGACUUGACGUACAUGAUCUUCAGUGUGUUGUGUAGGGCUCGCUUCAUGCCAUGAGGCAAGAUGCGGAGCAGCUCGUUCGGAAUGCCGUCUGGGCCCGUGGCUUUGUUACGAGAGAGGUGGGCGAUACAGUGGUCAAAGUUGGCGGGGUCUGCCAUGCUAGAAAGCAUGGAGUGUGCUUCCGGGUGCUUGUUACGCUCAAGCGUAAAGGCAUCCGUAGCGUUAGGUAGUUCGAACGGGUACCCACGCAUUGCGCCAGGCGACAGGCGAUAUUCACCUGUGCGGGGCCCUCGUGGGGGGGCUGACAGUUUGCGGAAGUGGCCUUCCAGGGCGGUUAGAAUGCUGGGGGGGUCGGUUACCACCUCGCCUGUUUCAGGGUUGCGGACCGCGGGGAGGCCACGUUCGGUUGCUUCUUUCUGAAAG
Molecule: long non-coding RNA, 1517 nt
Filed under: Chlamydomonas reinhardtii
Lineage: Eukaryota; Viridiplantae; Chlorophyta; Chlorophyceae; Chlamydomonadales; Chlamydomonadaceae
Description: long non-coding RNA (CREI_LNC000139)
Source: RNAcentral